RNA transcript from Theobroma umbraticum, 1694 nucleotides. It is a transcript of the gene named proline iminopeptidase, with no coding region annotated. Lineage: Eukaryota; Viridiplantae; Streptophyta; Magnoliopsida; Malvales; Malvaceae. The record is from RefSeq and is a predicted model, not a curated record.
CCCAAUGCAAUGCUUAUCGGUAAAGCCUCAUUAUCAGGCAGGCAUGGGGCAUCCUACUCAUGUGAAAGCCACCAUAUAGUAAGAAUGAGGUUAGGGAUUAAAUUUGUCCCAAAAUCAAACUCUCUCUUCACUCAGUACUCACUUCCCACAAUUCCUUCCUCCCUUCCUCACUUCCCUCGAUCCCUUGCUUCAAUUUCCAACAAUUGCACUUUCUCAGGGAAAAAGACGUCAUCUUUGUUUUUGCAAAGGGUUAGUUAUAAGACUGAGACUCAGUUAAGUGAUUUAAUGGAGUCAGGGAAGGAAAUUCAAGAGCUUAACAGGAACCUUUAUCCAGCUGUAGAGCCAUAUAGCACUGGUUUUCUCAAGGUUUCUGAUAUUCAUACAAUCUACUGGGAGCAAUCAGGAAACCCAAAUGGCCAUCCAGUUGUGUUUCUUCAUGGGGGACCUGGAGGAGGAACAACACCAAGCAAUCGAACAUUCUUUGAUCCUGAAUUUUACAGGAUCAUUUUAUUUGAUCAGCGUGGUGCAGGAAAGAGUACGCCCCAUGCUUGCUUGGAAGAGAACACUACAUGGGAUCUAAUUGAUGACAUUGAAAAGCUAAGAGAACACUUGGAAAUUCCAGAAUGGCAGGUCUUUGGUGGCUCAUGGGGAAGUACACUUGCUCUUGCUUACAGUCAAUCACAUCCUGACAAGGUUACUGGCUUGGUUCUAAGAGGGAUAUUCCUUUUGCGGAAGAAAGAGAUUGAUUGGUUUUAUGAAGGUGGUGCUGCUGCUAUUUACCCUGAUGCUUGGGAGCCAUUUAGGGAUCUUAUUCCAGAAAAUGAGAGGGAGAGCUUUGUUAAUGCUUACCACAAGAGACUGAAUUCUGAUGAUUUGGAAACACAAUAUGCAGCUGCUAGGGCAUGGACCAAAUGGGAAAUGAUGACUGCCCAUCUUCUACCAAAUGAAGACAACAUCAAGAGAGGGGACGAUGAUAAUUUUUCACUGGCUUUUGCAAGGAUUGAGAACCAUUACUUUGUGAAUAAAGGAUUCUUUCCUUCAGAUUCAUUCUUGUUGGACAAUAUUGACAAGAUAAGGCAUAUUAAUACUACAGUUGUACAGGGAAGAUAUGAUGUUUGCUGCCCUAUGAUGUCAGCUUGGGAUCUCCACAAAGGAUUUCCAGAGGCAGAUUUUAAGGUAAGAACUAGAAUAAGCUAUUUGUCCUGUUGAAGAUGUGAUUUUACAUGUUGGGGAUGCCAGAUGGAAUCAUACCUUGCGCCAAAUUCUUCCUUGCAGCAGGUUGUUUCAGAUGCUGGGCAUUCAGCGAACGAACCAGGAAUAGCAGCUGAACUUGUGGCUGCAAAUGAGAAGCUGAAAAAACUUUUAAAGAAUUAACCUUGAAAACUAGAGUCAGCAUGCAGUUGCAGUGCCUGACUACAUUCCUAAAUUGCAGAGGCGUACACAUUGAUAUGCCCUGACAUCCAUCAUAAAGGGCAGUAGUUUGAGAUAUCAUUUGAAGAAUGUUUAACAGAAUGUCGGUUCACGUAUAAUGUUGAAUAGCUGUGCUUCAUCUGUGUAGGCUUUUCAUUUCUGUUGGCUUUGUUUCUUUAAACUGUGGUUUUUGUUCUUUACUAUUUCUUUUUAUAAAAGAAAUGAAGGACAGAAGAGAGCAAUAAAACAACAAUAAGAAUGGCAUAUUUAUCAGAUUUUGGUAA